Molecule: ribosomal RNA, 622 nt
Filed under: Mesoflavibacter sp. S37
Lineage: Bacteria; Pseudomonadati; Bacteroidota; Flavobacteriia; Flavobacteriales; Flavobacteriaceae
Description: bacterial SSU rRNA
Rfam family: Bacterial small subunit ribosomal RNA
Source: RNAcentral
CUGACGACCGGCGCACGGGUGCGUAACGCGUAUGCAAUCUACCUUUUGCUAAGGGAUAGCCCAGAGAAAUUUGGAUUAAUACCUUAUAGUAUGAUGACUUGGCAUCAAGAUAUCAUUAAAGAUUACGGCAAAAGAUGAGCAUGCGUUCUAUUAGCUAGUUGGUGUGGUAACGGCAUACCAAGGCAACGAUAGAUAGGGGUCCUGAGAGGGAGAUCCCCCACACUGGUACUGAGACACGGACCAGACUCCUACGGGAGGCAGCAGUGAGGAAUAUUGGACAAUGGAGGCAACUCUGAUCCAGCCAUGCCGCGUGCAGGAAGACUGCCCUAUGGGUUGUAAACUGCUUUUAUACAGGAAGAAACACCUCUACGUGUAGAGAUUUGACGGUACUGUAAGAAUAAGGAUCGGCUAACUCCGUGCCAGCAGCCGCGGUAAUACGGAGGAUCCAAGCGUUAUCCGGAAUCAUUGGGUUUAAAGGGUCCGUAGGUGGGCAAUUAAGUCAGAGGUGAAAUCCUGCAGCUUAACUGUAGAAUUGCCUUUGAUACUGGUUGUCUUGAGUUAUUAUGAAGUGGUUAGAAUAUGUAGUGUAGCGGUGAAAUGCAUAGAUAUUACAUAGAAUACC